This is a long non-coding RNA of Myripristis murdjan (pinecone soldierfish), 878 nucleotides long. RefSeq lists it as uncharacterized. The transcript is spliced from 3 exons. The record is from RefSeq and is a predicted model, not a curated record. Lineage: Eukaryota; Metazoa; Chordata; Actinopteri; Holocentriformes; Holocentridae.
UUUAAGCUUGUUGUAUGGGGAUGACUGCCCUACUGAUUACCACAGUGAGAUCACUACUUUUAAAGAUUGGUGUGAGAGGAAUCCACCUCAUUUUAAACACCACCAGAACAAAAGAAAUCAUCUUUGAUCUGAAGGCUGUGUGAGCCCAUGAAGCUGUACUCACUGGCGACAUGGAAACUGAGCAGGCUCAGACUGUUUGGAGGGAGUACAGCGAUCAUGUCAACGCUCUACAACGCUGUACUCUAAAGUCUAAUAAGAUACGGCAUGGCAGCUUGAUUCUGGCAGAAGGUUCAGAGCCGGCAGAUAUCGGAGCUACAAGCUCUCCUUCCUCCCUGCUUCUACAGCCCUGCUAAACAGAGAGCCAGCGCCCCCUCCAGGCUGAAGGAAGUCACAGCAGACAGGUGGAGGCCUCUCUGUGGAAUGAUAGCGAUAGCCUUCAAGCUUUUUAUUAUGCUUUUAUUGAUCUUAUCUAUUUUUUUUUGACUAUCAAUUCUUUUAUUCUGUUUUUAUCAUUUUAAUCAUUUUUUCUCUUUUAUCAUCUCAUUGAUUCCUUUUAGAUUAAUAUAUGCAUGUUAAGUCACUGGGUCCCUUUUUAUUCUACCUUAAGGGCAAUAAUGUAUGCAGCAGACUAUCUGGGUGGAUGCAUUAUGCUGCUCAUUUUUACUCCUACUUUUAUCCUUGAAUGUAUUAUUUAACUUUUGAUGCAAUAAGGAUUGUGCAGUCUUAUGCCUAAGUGGCAUCCUUUCUGUGAGGUGUGUCAAUGCAGUGUCUGUUGUUGUUUACUUGUUUUUAAUGUCGGAUGUAGCUGUCUAUCUGCCUUUUAAUGUCUGGAUGUGGUUAAGCAAACUUUAUGCCCAUGACAAAUUUUCCCUCGGGGA